CCUACGGGGCGCAGCAGUGAGGAAUAUUGGUCAAUGGACGAGAGUCUGAACCAGCCAAGUAGCGUGAAGGAUGACUGCCCUAUGGGUUGUAAACUUCUUUUAUAUGGGAAUAAAAUGUUCCACGUGUGGGAUUUUGUAUGUACCAUAUGAAUAAGGAUCGGCUAACUCCGUGCCAGCAGCCGCGGUAAUACGGAGGAUCCGAGCGUUAUCCGGAUUUAUUGGGUUUAAAGGGAGCGUAGGUGGAUUGUUAAGUCAGUUGUGAAAGUUUGCGGCUCAACCGUAAAAUUGCAGUUGAAACUGGCAGUCUUGAGUACAGUAGAGGUGGGCGGAAUUCGUGGUGUAGCGGUGAAAUGCUUAGAGAUCACGAAGAACUCCGAUUGCAAAGGCAGCUCGCUGGACUGAAACUGACACUGAGGCUCGAAAGUGUGGGUAUCAAACAGGAUUAGAUACCCUUGUAGUC
Molecule: ribosomal RNA, 460 nt
Filed under: uncultured bacterium
Lineage: Bacteria
Description: partial 16S ribosomal RNA
Rfam family: Bacterial small subunit ribosomal RNA
Source: RNAcentral